Molecule: ribosomal RNA, 181 nt
Filed under: uncultured bacterium
Lineage: Bacteria
Description: partial 16S ribosomal RNA
Rfam family: Bacterial small subunit ribosomal RNA
Source: RNAcentral
GCAUGAGUCGGAAUUGCUAGUAAUCGCAGAUCAGCAUGCUGCGGUGAAUACGUUCCCGGGCCUUGUACACACCGCCGUCACACCAUGGGAGUCGGUAACACCCGAAGUCGGUAGCCUAACCGUAAGGAGGGCGCCGCCGAAGGUGGGAUUAAUGACUGGGGUGAAGUCGUAACAAGGUACC